Molecule: ribosomal RNA, 400 nt
Filed under: phytoplankton environmental sample
Lineage: Eukaryota
Description: partial small subunit ribosomal RNA
Rfam family: Eukaryotic small subunit ribosomal RNA
Source: RNAcentral
AGCUCCAAUAGCGUAUAUUAAAGUUGCUGCAGUUAAAAAGCUCGUAGUUGGAUUUGUGGGAUGGCCGUCCGGCGGGGGGCCAUUUAUUGGUCCCGUUUGUCCUGGUUUUCGGCCUUCCCUUUCUCGGGUCUAGCGUAUCGGCUGGCAUUAGGUUGUCGGCCGCUUCGCGCCCGUCGUUUACUGUGAAAAAAUUAGAGUGUUCAAAGCAGGCUUAGGCCGUUGGAUACAUUAGCAUGGAAUAAUGAGAUAGGGCCACCGCGGUCUAUUUUGUUGGUUUGCACGUUGUGGUAAUGAUUAACAGGAACGGUUGGGGGUAUUCGUAUUCAAUUGUCAGAGGUGAAAUUCUUGGAUUUGUGGAAGACGAACUACUGCGAAAGCAUUUACCAAGGAUGUUUUCAUU